Lagenorhynchus albirostris (white-beaked dolphin) is the source of this 712-nucleotide long non-coding RNA. RefSeq lists it as uncharacterized. The transcript is spliced from 2 exons. The record is from RefSeq and is a predicted model, not a curated record. Lineage: Eukaryota; Metazoa; Chordata; Mammalia; Artiodactyla; Delphinidae.
GCGCUCGGUUCUACGCCGAGUUGUUUGCCUGCCUGCCCUUCCUUUUGCCUUCCGUCGCUUUUCUUCCCUCCACCACCCUCAGCCGUCGCCGCCGACGCCACCCCUGGAGUCCAGACAGGUCAGCGGAAGUGACGUCAUGGCAAGACCGGUUUCCUUGGAAACAGAGACGCCGUCUGCGCCCUUCCUAAAGGGGAGGGGUCUGGGGUUUCCGGAGAAGCUUCCUAUUCGCACCUGGAAACCAGAGGCGCGUUUGGGGCUCGCCCAAAGGCGAGCGUCGGAGAUGUGCCUGGGACGGAUCUGGCUAUGGCGCCGGUCGCCUCCCGCUCUCGCUUUCAGAGAGUUGGGGUUGUCAGCUGGUUAGUCAAGGCGGAUGCGGGGAAAGGGUAGAGGGACGCAGGGACCAGCCUCGGUGUAUGCCCGGCCAGCACCCCCGCAGCCCGAAGUAUCGGGGUAAGAAAGGAAAUGGCUAACUCCAGCCGCACUCGCCCUGCGGCUUCCCUGCGCAAAGCGCGACGUUGACUCCCACAGGCCUCCCGUUCCUAAACCGACUCCUGUUUUUCUCGCCCAGCUGCAGGGAGGAUUGUGUGACACGGUCGUAAAAUGCUCAGUAACGUUUUGCAGUUGGGAAAUUGAACACGCAGAUGAACAUGGGCUCGUUCAUAAAGUCUAAACUGUUUAAAUUAAUUUUUUAAAAAAGACUCUUCUCAACAGA